UAAAAUAACCAAUUUUCAAUGCGUAUAUUUUUAUUCUAACAUUUGUAUGCUAAAGGCUGUUGAAAUUCUCUUCAUGCAAAAAGAGAAAAUCAUGUGUUUAAUGAAAAUUCUCCAGAGGACAAUUCAAGGUCAGACACAGCGUCAAUUGUCCUUCAUGCCAGUGAACGGAUCCUUCAACAGAAAAACGGAAGAGAAACCUAAACAGCACGUCUUCAACUUUGCAGAAUACGCCUAUUUUCAUGUUUCUUCUGACAACAAGCUACAAAAGCCUUCAAAUAACAAUAUAGAACAGAAUAAACAGCAGGUUACUGUAAAUAACGGAAACUACGACGGCGACAUAAAAUGUCUGUAUAGUCCAGGAAUUAAAUUUUAGAGAGGAAUUUGAACGCCAUGACGUUUCCCAUCUCUGAUGUCCAUUUGAAUCCGCAUGGAAUCAUUCUUGUUCAUAUGAAGAGGAACAUUCUUCCUUUAAAAAGACGAAAAGAUACGAUUGAAUAACGACUAUAUAUUUAUAUAUAGUAUACGGGAUCAUACAGUUGAAUAAUGACUUCAGCAUUUACUAUAUAUAUUUCUAGUAUCGAUCUUCUAGACAGUUUCUGAAUGCUCGGUUGAUCCUUGUAUUUCCUCAGUAUUUGUAGAAAUGCCAUUUUUGUGAUUUGUUUUAACCCAUAGAAUUUUCUGCAUUUCUUAUCAAUAUAUCUGUAGACUCAACGAUUUUCAUUUGUAUGUAAAAUUGCAACAUAUACAAAAAUAUAUAAAUUAUAUGUAAAAACAAAAA
Long non-coding RNA from Mytilus californianus (California mussel), 778 nucleotides. RefSeq lists it as uncharacterized. The record is from RefSeq and is a predicted model, not a curated record. Lineage: Eukaryota; Metazoa; Mollusca; Bivalvia; Mytilida; Mytilidae. The transcript is spliced from 2 exons.